GAUCCUGGCUCAGGACGAACGCUGGCGGCGUGCUUAACACAUGCAAGUCGAACGAGAAUCUACUGAAAGAGUUUUCGGACAAUGGAUGUAGAGGAAAGUGGCGGACGGGUGAGUAACGCGUGAGGAACCUGCCUUGAAGAGGGGGACAACAGUUGGAAACGACUGCUAAUACCGCAUAACGCAUAGGGGUCGCAUGAUCUUUAUGCCAAAGAUUUAUUGCUUCAAGAUGGCCUCGCGU
This 238-nucleotide ribosomal RNA is filed under the name uncultured bacterium. Its description in RNAcentral is "partial 16S ribosomal RNA". It matches the Rfam family "Bacterial small subunit ribosomal RNA", at positions 15 to 236 of the family's 1533-position model. The record is from RNAcentral.